CGCCAGAGCACUACGAGCCACAGCUUAUAACUCAAAGGACUUGGCGGUGCCCUACACCCACCUAGAGGAGCCUGUUCUAUAAUUGAUAAUCCCCAAUAAACCUCACCACUUCUUGCAAAUACAGCCUAUAUACCACCGUCACAAGCCCGCCUCCCCAAAGAAUAACAGCAGGCCAAAUAAUUUUAAAUAUAAAAGUCAGGUCAAGGUGUAGCACAUGAGUUGGAAAGAAAUGGGCUACAUUUUCUUUAAAGAAAACACGAAAUAUUUUGUGAAAUAUAAUAUGAAGGAGGAUUUAGUAGUAAAAAGGAAAUAGAGAGUCCUUUUUAAACCGGCAAUAGGGCAAGCACACACCGCCCGUCACCCUCUUUAACUUUCUAAAAAUUAAAUAAAUAUAUAUUUACACUCAGAAGAGGAAAGUCGUAACAAGGUAAGUCUACCGGAAGGUGGCCUUGGGA
Molecule: ribosomal RNA, 455 nt
Filed under: Parvimolge townsendi (Townsend's dwarf salamander)
Lineage: Eukaryota; Metazoa; Chordata; Amphibia; Caudata; Plethodontidae
Description: partial 12S ribosomal RNA
Rfam family: Bacterial small subunit ribosomal RNA
Source: RNAcentral